UGCAGAAAAUACUUGCUCGCACCCACUGCACCAGUUGAUAGGGCCCAGAAGAGGAUACCAAUUGCAAGAACCGUGGGUCGGUCAUAAUUUAAAACUAAAAUACCUGCCACUGGAGAAGCAAUUCCCUGCACAAAGUUCCUAAUGAAUGUGAGAAACCCAAGAUCAGAUGGUCCUGCUGUAAAAGCUUCACUGACUUCUUUAUAAACAGCUGGAAGGAGAUUCUCAUCAGCGCGCUCCAUUAUAGCGGCCAUGUUGAUGAUGAUUAGGGAAAUAGAGAUCCCAAAAAUUGUCCUUGUUCUCAUGGUGGAAAGGUGGCUGGGAAGCAGAGAUUUAGGUCGAAAAACAGAAGAAGGUAAUCUUGAAGCUCUAGCGCUUAACCCCAUCAAUCCCAAAGGAAUAAAGGUCAACCUUUUGCUGGCCCUUCUCCUUCUGGGGCACUAACUCGCCAUUCAUUCAACGUGGCUCUGUUUAUUUGCUGCAAGAUUCCAUUUUUAGACAACCCCAGAUGAAGAUUUGAGAUCUACUUACCAUACAAUAUACGUACAAUCAUCAAACGUAAAGAAUAUGUGAUAAGAUUCAGUACAAUUUAUGUUAUUAUGA
This 600-nucleotide unclassified non-coding RNA is filed under the name Hevea brasiliensis (rubber tree). The record is from RNAcentral. Lineage: Eukaryota; Viridiplantae; Streptophyta; Magnoliopsida; Malpighiales; Euphorbiaceae.